Molecule: ribosomal RNA, 484 nt
Filed under: uncultured bacterium
Lineage: Bacteria
Description: partial 16S ribosomal RNA
Rfam family: Bacterial small subunit ribosomal RNA
Source: RNAcentral
AUUGAACGCUGGCGGCAGGCCUAACACAUGCAAGUCGAGCGGAUGAAGGGAGCUUGCUCCUGGAUUCAGCGGCGGACGGGUGAGUAAUGCCUAGGAAUCUGCCUGGUAGUGGGGGAUAACGUCCGGAAACGGGCGCUAAUACCGCAUAUGUCUUGAGGGCGUCAGUGGGUGAUCUUCGGACCUCAGGCUAUCAGAUGAGCUUAGGUCGGAUUAGCUAGUUGGUGGGGUAAAGGCCUACCAAGGCAACGAUCCGUAACUGGUCUGAGAGGAUGAUCAGUCACACUAGAACUGAGACGCGGUCCAGACUCCUACGGGAGGCAGCAGUGGGGAAUAUUAGACAAUGGGCGAAAGCCUGAUCCAACCAUGCCGCGUGUGUGAAGAAGAUCUUCGGAUUGUAAAGCACAUUAAGUUGGGAAGAAGGGCAGUAAGUUAAUACCUUGCUGUUUUGACGUUACCAACAGAAUAAGCACCGGCUAACUUCGUG